RNAcentral lists this long non-coding RNA (489 nucleotides) under Cyanistes caeruleus (blue tit). RNAcentral's name for it is "lncRNA (ENSCCEG00000018357.1)". Lineage: Eukaryota; Metazoa; Chordata; Aves; Passeriformes; Paridae. The record is from RNAcentral.
UAAAAAAUGGUAAAUAUUUUCAGAAUUAUGUGUUGAAAAGAUGAAGGGUCAAGUUUUGGUGGGCUGCUUCCAUUUCCCUGGCUGCACAUAACCAAAAUCUCUCUUCAACUACUUUUAUUUCAGUUUGGUAAAUUUUAAUAGAUUAUAAGAAAUCCAAGAAGCUGUGGAAAAAAAAAAACAACCAAAAAAAAUAUCCUUUAUCUGUGAAAUUGUUUUCUGUUUGGUUUGGUUUGCAUUGUGCAUUAUGGUUUUUCCCCAAGGAAAAGAAAAGAUGUUCAAAAGGAAAGUUGGAGGCUGGAAUUCAUCAUUUGCGUUCAUAGAGAGGAUUAACAAAUGAUAAUUACUGAAUGUCUGGAAGUAAAAUGUACAGCUAACAGAGUGUCCUGUGGGAUGUGCCACCUUGGGCUGCACUGUCAGGACAUCAGGAGCUACAAGCAGAACAGGUGAAUCAGGCGGAAUUCCUGAGGAAUGAUGGCCUCGUGUGGUGUU